This is a long non-coding RNA of Octopus sinensis (East Asian common octopus), 157 nucleotides long. RefSeq lists it as uncharacterized. NCBI's taxonomy places the organism in Eukaryota, Metazoa, Mollusca, Cephalopoda, Octopoda, Octopodidae. The record is from RefSeq and is a predicted model, not a curated record. The transcript is spliced from 4 exons.
GAUGUCUCCUGGGGCUAAAUUACAGCAACAUUCAUCCUAAACCAGGACUGCCGUGUUAUGUUGGCAAAAAUCUUUACUCCAAAGUAAUGUUGCCGAAUAUCUCUGGUUGUGAGAUUUGAAAAUAGUAAUUUCUUAAUAAAUGGAUGUAUUUGAAAUA